UUUAUUGGAGAGUUUGAUCCUGGCUCAGGAUGAACGCUGGCGGCGUGCCUAAUACAUGCAAGUCGAGCGAAUGGAUUAAGAGCUUGCUCUUAUGAAGUUAGCGGCGGACGGGUGAGUAACACGUGGGUAACCUGCCCAUAAGACUGGGAUAACUCCGGGAAACCGGGGCUAAUACCGGAUAACAUUUUGAACUGCAUGGUUCGAAAUUGAAAGGCGGCUUCGGCUGUCACUUAUGGAUGGACCCGCGUCGCAUUAGCUAGUUGGUGAGGUAACGGCUCACCAAGGCAACGAUGCGUAGCCGACCUGAGAGGGUGAUCGGCCACACUGGGACUGAGACACGGCCCAGACUCCUACGGGAGGCAGCAGUAGGGAAUCUUC
This 378-nucleotide ribosomal RNA is filed under the name Bacillus wiedmannii. RNAcentral's name for it is "bacterial SSU rRNA". It matches the Rfam family "Bacterial small subunit ribosomal RNA", at positions 1 to 366 of the family's 1533-position model. The record is from RNAcentral. Lineage: Bacteria; Bacillati; Bacillota; Bacilli; Caryophanales; Bacillaceae.